GACGAACGCUGGCGGCGUGCUUAACACAUGCAAGUCGAACGGACAGGCCCUGCUUUUGUGGGGCGCUCGAGUGGCGAACGGGUGAGUAACACGUGAGUAACCUGCCCUUGACUUUGGGAUAACUUCAGGAAACUGGGGCUAAUACCGGAUAGGAGCUCCUGCUGCAUGGUGGGGGUUGGAAAGUUUCGGCGGUUGGGGAUGGACUCGAGGCUUAUCAGCUUGUUGGUGGGGUAGUGGCUUACCAAGGCUUUGACGGGUAGCCGGCCUGGGAGGGUGACCGGCCACAUUGGGACUGAGGUACGGCCCAGAAUCCUACGGGAGGCAGCAGUGGGGAGUAUUGCACAAUGGGCGGAAGCCUGAUGCAGCAACGCCGCGUGCGGGAUGACGGCCUUCGGGUUGUAAACCGCUUUCGCCUGUGACGAAGCGUGAGUGACGGUAAUGGGUAAGAAAGCACCGGCUAACUACGUG
This 468-nucleotide ribosomal RNA is filed under the name uncultured bacterium. RNAcentral describes it as "partial 16S ribosomal RNA". It matches the Rfam family "Bacterial small subunit ribosomal RNA", at positions 28 to 507 of the family's 1533-position model. The record is from RNAcentral.